UGUGGCGGCUGGUGCCGGAUGGGCCGCGCUGUGCUGUGGCGUGACGGCGAGCUGUUCAGAAGGGUUCUGCUAAAAAGGAAACGUCCCGCAGCAGCUCCUGGGUGCCCCGCAGUUGGCUCAGAGAACGAGUUAAAAGUCACUGGUGGUGAAAGUUGGGAUGCCAGAGUGAUCUGAGGAGAUGAAUCUACGUGGUUACUGAAAAGUUAUGUUUUUCCUUUCUUCUCCAGUAGCUGCACUGCAUCCUUUGAGAGGUGAUUGUAUUGCUAUAAAACAUAAUAGAAGUAUGAAGUCUCAGCUGCUUUACCUUCAGUCGAAAGCAGACUAGUCCCAAGACAACUUCAGCGCAGAUCUCAAAUCUUUCAUCCUGAAGGACUAAAUGUUCAAACUGGUGCGACAGCCUGACAUGCUGAGAAGAAAAAGAGUGUCUAUUGCAUAAAUUUGAUUCAUUAAAAGAAAUGAUUUGCUAAAUUGCUUCCAUCCUUAAUCUCUUUUCUCAUUUCCCUCUUCUAAUAGGUGAUGAUACUCACACACUGCCAUCUGCUUAUGUUAACUUAUAUCAUGUUUAUGACUGUCUGAGACCAUACUGAGCUAUAACAAUAUUGGAUGCUCAGUUUAUCUUAGGGAUUAUAGGUCUGUUUCUUAAUGAAAUGUUUUAUACCUUUCAGGAUGCCAUAUUAAUAGUAAACAUUUGAAAGAAUUCUGUUUUACAUUUUCUGCCAUUCUCAGUUUUGGUUGAAAAUGGCUGCACAGUCUGAAAAGAGGAAAAGGGAGGAUGCAUGAUUUAUAUAGAAAAAAUGACCACAAUUCCAGUGGACAACAAGAUGGACAGAGACAGACGGGCUUUUUAGAGUAGUUCACUUGACAUGAGAAUAACUGUGAGGGAGGUAACCUGCUCACCCUUUCUGGCCUGGGUGCUCAGGUCUCAUUGAAAAGAACAGUGGUGACAGUAAAAUAAAGAAAACAGACAGCACACCUCAGCCUGAUAUACAGUUACAUCAGAUACCAACCUAGAUCUAUUAUUCCAAAACGUACGAAGACUGAUGCUCUUCCAAAAAUCAAACAAAUACAAAAAAUACUAACAGGCAUAUUAACAACCAGCAAGGAAGUUCUAAUGUCAGUCAGUGAAGCUUGUAAACGUAUACAGCAGAUUUUGCUUCCUCCCAAACAGAAAAUGAA
Phasianus colchicus (ring-necked pheasant) is the source of this 1176-nucleotide long non-coding RNA. RefSeq lists it as uncharacterized. The record is from RefSeq and is a predicted model, not a curated record. Lineage: Eukaryota; Metazoa; Chordata; Aves; Galliformes; Phasianidae.